UAGAUUCUAGGGCUCCACCACCUUUUACAUUGUCUCUCCUAUUAUAUCCUUAAUCUUUUGUACAAGGUAUAGCCAACCAUUCUCCUGUUCUCCUUGUGAAUCUAAUGAUGUUCAGCAAGGAAAUCAGAUAACACUCUUCGCAGGUGGAUACGGGUGUCAACCAUCGUGUUCGAGCAAGUUCAGUGCAUAGCUGUGUUGGAACAAGUUUAGUGCAUAGCUAUUAAAAACAACUUUUUGGUUUCCAAUUAUAGCAAUGGUUAUAGCCAUUUUAGCUUUAGUAUUGUACUUGCUGUUGGAUCCGACACCAGUUAUCGCAGGGCAGUAAGUGCCCACAAUCUGAAUUCUGAGACUGAGAGAAAGGAAGGUAAUGAUUCAUAUAGAACUUACUAGUUUAUUUCAUCUUGGCCUCUACAUUUAUGCAUAUAUUUGGUGUGCUGAUUCUUGAUAGGUAGAUGCAGAGCAUAUUCACAAGAAACAAAAGAACAGCAGGCAUGGUAUGAGUCAUGGGAUCAUAUGAUGUGUAGCUUCCCACUCUCCAGAUAAUAGUUACCUUCCACAUUUUAUGCAUCUGUCAACUUGUGGGCUCUAUUGUUCACAACUUAUAUAUAUUUGGCUCACUCGAACAUUCUAUUUCAACCUGUAUAGUCCAUUUCUUCUAGCAUUUAGCAAUGGACCCCGACCCCAUCUCCCCCAUACACGCAUCCAUUCCUCACCUUGGAUUAUUCAGAAAAAGAAUGAUAUUGUCUGCGAAUUGCAUGAGAGAUUGGCAGAGUACAAUUUGGUAGGGUAAUACCUUGGAUUAGUUUCAUUUCCACCGCUUUUUGUAACAUUCUUGCCAGUGAUUCCCCAACUAAGUUAAACAAGGGGGACAAAGGGUCCCCUUGCCGCAGCCCUCUCGAGGGAGCAAACUCCUCCGACAGGCUUCCAUUCACCAAAACUGAAAUCCUUGAUGAGAGAAAAAUUUCUUUUAUCCAAGUUAUCCAUUUGCCUUCAAAUUCCAUUGUUUGCAUAUAUAACCUCGAGCAGAAAAUCCC
This 1034-nucleotide long non-coding RNA is filed under the name Daucus carota (carrot). Its description in RNAcentral is "long non-coding RNA (DCAR_LNC003441)". The record is from RNAcentral. Lineage: Eukaryota; Viridiplantae; Streptophyta; Magnoliopsida; Apiales; Apiaceae.